Molecule: long non-coding RNA, 6471 nt
Organism: Acinonyx jubatus (cheetah)
Lineage: Eukaryota; Metazoa; Chordata; Mammalia; Carnivora; Felidae
Exons: 3
Source: RefSeq, a predicted model, not a curated record
GGGGGGGCGGGCGGGGAGCCUGGUGACUUCUUCUGCCCAGACCUCAGCGCGGGAGCUAAUGGGAGAAUAUGUAACCUGGGGUUACGGAGUAUGGGCGAGGAGAAGUCAGAUGGAAAAGACAGAGGUAUCAGAAGGGAAAGCUAAUGCAACCACACGGGAGACAUUAAAAAGCAAUAAAUCUGGGAGCCUGCAUGGUAUUCGCCCAGGAAUUCUGUAGAGGGUGGUUAACCCGCUCACCUGGGGCUGGGGCUGAGCACGGUGAGGGGUUGGGGGGGGGGGUCCCACAUGGCCUGGAAACCAGGGCUCUGGACCCACCCUGAGAAGAACCAGAUUCCAGAAAUGUGUUUCCAGGCCCAGGGCAGCCCGGGGAGCCUCUGGAGACGGGGGAGGGAGCCCCACAUUGCAGGAGGCCGGGCCGGCAAAGGGAGUCCCGACACCUCAACCACUGGAGAACAUUCUCUGGGAGCGUUAAGCAGCCCGUGGGGAAGAGAGAACCACAGGAUAUGAUUUAUUUACCUACUCCCUGACAAAAUCUUUCCCAGAAGGCUGAGGAUAGUAAUUCUCUGUAAUUAUAUCUCAUUCGAGGUUCUGCAGGCUCUUAGACUCGUUAACUCAUUAGUGCUCCCGGCACACCUUGGGGGGGGGGGGAAGGAAGUGGGGGAGGGGAUGACCAACUUCGGCAGCCAGCUGGGGGAAACCGAGGCACCCCCGGCGAGAGGUGCAGAAUCAGAACUGGGACCUCCUGGAGGGCAAAUGCUUAAAGGGAGGAGAGGGAGAGGUUAGGCAUGGGGUCUGGGUUCAGUCUCUCUUCUUCCUGUGUGAUCUGGGGAAAGUCCCCCAGCCUCUCUGGGCCAGGGUUCCCUGAGCUGCAAACAAAGAGAGCCGGGUACAGAGGCCUCUAUGGCCCCUGACUCAGGAGCCCGUUUGGAAAUUUAACCUCCCGCCGAGUCAUGGAGAUGUGACGAUGAGAGUGGCUUUCGGGUAGACCAGAAGUGGAAGUUGGUCACGUGGUCCACAGGAGACACCGUGAGGAAGGCUUCGUGACCUUCAGGGGCCCGUCGCGAGCCUCAGGUUGAAUUUAUAGUAUCGAGAAGCCAUUCCAUUCAGGGCUGUUGGCUGCAGGGGGGUCAGAAACGGAUGUGGUGGAAAACUGGGGUUUUCUUGUUUCUAGAAACCCUGAUUUGUCUCCCCUUUGGGUCCAUGUGUUGACGGCUUCUUCUCCAGGUCCCGUUGGCGGGGGACAUUGGAAAGCCAUGCCCUUUCCCCUGUAAGAAUUUCCACUGGCCGGAAGGAGGGAACCGAGAGCCGUGGAAGUUCUUUGGGAAUCACGAAGCGAUGCUCACGUGUUGGUGUGGCGAUUGUUACAUUUUCCCCUGGCCUUCUUCCUCAUUGAGUCAAGGAAUGGAAUUUAGGGAGCAGAAGUGGGACGUGAGAUCGGGGAGGGGAACAAGAGUUGACGGAGCCUCUACUAUGGUUCGAGGUACCAUGUGAUCGCUUUCCGUCCGUUGUCCUGCCUGCUCAACAAUCCUGUGAGGUACAGAUCCCAUUGUACAGAUGGGCACAUUGAGGCUCGGGAAGGUUGAGCAGUUGGGCCAAGCCUUCGCAGCCAGGCUGUGACAGAGCCAGGAUUUGAACCAAGGUGUCUCUGGGUAGACAAUACACUCUGUCUAGUGGUCCAAGCUUGCGUGAAGAGAGAGAGGUGGCGUCUGAGGCCGUGCGAAAUCUUCGACUUCUUCUCCCUCGCCUUGGCCCGAAACUGGUUUGGGAGAGAGGGAAUGAGAAACCAGGAUCUUUUCUUUCGGGUUCCACCUCGGGCUUUAGAUCAGGGAAUCUCUUGGCAGGAGAUAGUUGCGUCUGACUAUUCGACCGGGAAGAGUUAACUGUAAGGGCUACUUACAAGGGGGGCGAGUAGGGUUAAGGGACCCAGCAAGGGACACUGGAGUUCUCUGGGGCCAGCAACCGUGGGAGCUGUUAACCCCCUCAGGGCUGCAGGGGCUGGGGGUGGGGGGUGGGGGGAGGUGCACAGAGCCAGAGAGGGUUGGAACCACGGAGACGGGCUGUCCGCACGAACCACUGUCAUGGAGGGUGAUGUUUGGGGAGGAGUAGGGACUAGAUACCCUGACAUGAUCUUUCAAUCCGCCCUCCCUCCUGUCCGUAGCCAGUGCUUUCCAUCAGCUGAGUCCGAUCAGCCAGGAGGGCAAGAGCCUGGUGAUGAAUCUUCAGCGGCUGGGUGUCUGGGGAGCAGGCAGAGCAUUGAAGGUCGAGCACAGAUGUGCGUGAUGCAGGCAUAGACUUGGCCCCAUCCCCCGUCCCUUUCGAGCCUGCCAUCAGGGACACAGCCAGUGACCUUGAGACUGUUUUCUGCAGAGAAGGGCGACUCUUGGGUGCAUUUCAGUAGGUGCACUGGGAAUUUCUUGGAACGGUGGCGGGCCCACCAAAUCCUCCCCGAAACACUCUCUCCACCUGUCAGCGCCCCGAUAGGCUCAAGUGUGUGGCUGUCGCACUUGGAGAGGAAUUUGGAGGGUGUAUGUCUCCGGGGCAUUCUCCAGCCCCUUUUUAUCAGGAGUCUCAUUUUAAAGGUAGUGUUUAUUGGGGGCGCCUGGGUGGCUCAGUCGGUUGAAAGUCCAACUCUGGCUCAGGUCGUGGUCUCACGGUUCGUGGGUUCGAGCCCCGCGUCGGGCUCUGUGCCGACAGCCCGGAGCCUGCUUCGGAUUCUGGGUCUCCCUCUCUCUCUGCCCCUCCCCCGCUCACGUUCUGUCUCUCUCUCUCUCAAAAAUAAAUAAACAUUAAAAUUUUUUUUCAAUAAUAGAAUAAAAGUAAAAUGAGGAGAUAGCAGAAUUCAUAAUUCAUCGAAUGUUUUCCAUGUGUCAUGGCCUGUGAUAGGCUCUUGCUGUUUUCAGCUUCUAACUUCCCUGGAGCUCUGAGAGGUAGGUAUUCUGGGCCUUCUGUCCUGAUCAGGACAUAGAGGUUCAGAGAUUUAACUUGCCCAAGGCCAGUCACCAGGGAAACGGUAAAGGCAGGAAGGAAACCCGAGGCUCGGUGGGCUGGGGCAAACCGUUUCCUGGCUACCGACGAUGUGCUAGGUGAGGAAAGCAAGACCACGGGAGGUUGCAAAGCUGCUCUCUGGGUUUGAACUUGCCCGUGACAAGACGGGCACGGACACCAAGCCACGUUCCCUACGCUCCGUGUGACUGAAGGAGAGUCCCGGCUGGUGUGUCCCCUAUGUGAGAUGGGCCAAUAUUCCACAUGGCUGCGUGGGAUUGUGAAGGGACUGGGUGGCCAGAGGGACCACGAGGAACAGGAGGUCUUAGGAGGUCAUUUGGCCUGGCUCGUGAAUUCCAGCCCCGCAUCAGGCUCUCUGCUGUCAGUGCAGAACCCACUUCGGAUCCUCUGCCCCCCUCUCUCUCUGCCCCUCCCCUGCUCAUUCUCUCCCUCUCUCUCUUUCAAGAUAAAUAAACUUAAAAAAAUGUAUGAGUCAGCUUGGGCGGUCAUAACAAAAUGGUACAAACGGAGUGGCUUAAACAACAGAAAUUUGUUUGCUCACAGUUCUGGAGGCUAGAAGUCCAAGGUCAAGGUGCUGGGACGGCGGUCAGUUUCCUCCGAGGCUUCUCUCCUUGGCUCGCAGGUGGCCACCUUCUUGUUUCUCUUCACAUGGCUGUCCUUCUAUGCACACGUGUCCCGGCGUCCCUAAUGUGCCCUAUUCUUUUCUUGUAAGGACACUAGCCAGAUUGGAUGAGGCCACCCUAAAGAACCCCUCUAACGUAAUCACCUCGUUAAGUACCCUGCAUCCAAACACAGCCACAUCCUGGGGUGGGGGGGGGGGUCAGGGCUCCCACGCAGGAAUUUCGGGGAGUUGGACACAUUUCAGACCCUAACAAACCCACUUAUUUUUUUUGUUUGUUUUUAGUUCCCACACGAGAUGAGGUUGAACCUUAUGAAAUUGCCGGCAGCCAAUCAAGUUCGAACUACAAAACGAGCGAGUCCCUUUGGAGCCUGUCCCGAGCUGCUGGUAGAGGACGGAGGUGUGGGGACCUCCUCCCUCUGGCUGUGCGAACCCCUCGGGACAGAUGUGCAAGAAAGACGGCAGGUGGGAAGAAACCUGCGGAGACCCCUCUCAGGACUGAUGAGUCCAGCCGGGGACAUCAGAGUGAGAACCUGAUGAGCUCCAGUUCCGACAGGUCACUGGGGACAGCAGCAGAAGUUUCUUUUUGCAGGCUCCAUCCAAGGGACGGGACUCUGUGUCUUUGACCAGGACGGCCCUCAGUUCUUGCCGUCUCUUGGGCAACCUGCGGCCUCUCCUGGGGGACCGGAAGUGACAGCUGAGACUGGUUUUGUGACGCGCCGUCACGGGAAUCUGAGAGCAUCGAGGCUUUGAGGUUGGCGGUAAUGACCCGCUUCACGGCCUGACGGGGAGGGUGCACGAGGUGGCACAUGGAACAAGGUCGGCACAGAGCCGGGCGCUCAGAAGGCACGCUGCGCGGCGGCUGUGGUUGGCCUCGUUGAUUGUUCUGUAGCCUGUUAAUUCCUAAGACUGGGAUACAAAUUCGACGGUUUGCAGGGUGCCUGACGGAAUCUGUUUUUUCAGGAGUAGACGGGAAGGAGGCAUUGGGAGUUGCAGGGCACUUACCUAAGCCAGGCGCCCUGGGAAUCGCUGGACGCACGCCGUCCCAGAAUCUUCUCGAACAGCUCUGGAGAACACGAUGCCCGUUUUACAGAUGCAGAGACUGAGGUCCAGGGAUGAGCUUGCUCAAGGUCGCUCAGCUGGCUUUGCUGUCUGGAAACUAAUUCUUCGAUGGGAAUGCAAAGGGAAAUGGAUAGCGGCGGGGUGCAAUGCAGUGCAUGGGGUUUCCUUUUGGAUGUGAGAUCUGGAUGAAAUGUCAGUCGAGUUUCUCUGGCUAUGGGGAGGUGCAGGAGGUGGUCUGGGCAUUGAGAAUCUCGGGGUGCCCAGCUCUCUGUGAGCCGCACAGCAGUGUCUAGCCUCUUGGAUCCGGGGGUGCGGGGGGGCCGUGCCUCAUCAUUUGCUAUUUGUGUGAGCACAUUCCACUUCCAGGAGCACCCCUGAAAGCGUUCUUAUCCGCAUUUUGCAGAUGGGGAAAGUGAGGCUCGGAUGGGUGAAGGUCCCUGUGGUGGUUAUCGGGUGCUCCGGGACAAGCCACCGCGGACUUAGUGGCCUCAAGACCACUCACUUCUUAUGCUCACAAAUUCCGUGGGUCACGAAUUUGGAUAGGGUAUAGAAGGGAUACCUUCUGCUCCAUCAUGUCUGAGACCUCAGCUUGGAAGACCUGAAUGGCCAAGAGCGACUGGAACAGUUGGCCGGCUCAUUCACGUGUCUGGCACCGGGGCUGGGUGGCUCACAGGCUGGGCUGAGCGGGGACAGUUGAUUGGAACAACCCCACACGGCCUCUUCCUUCAGCCUGGGAUCGACUCCUUGCAUCACGGCACCGAGGUUCAUUUUUUUUUUUUAACGUUUAUUUAUUUUUGAGACAGAGAGAGACAGAGCAUGAACGGGGGAGGGUCAGAGAGAAAGGGGGACACAGAAUCUGAAACAGGCUCCAGGCUCUGAGCGGUCAGCACAGAGCCGGACGCGGGGCUCGAACUCACAUACCGCGAGAUCGUGACCUGAGCCGAAGUCGGACGCUCAACCGACUGAGCCACCCAGGCGCCCCACGGCACCGAGAUUCAUUAUAGGAAGUGGCUCAUGUGAUUACGGGGGCUCAGAAGUCCCGGAGUCCUCCAUUUGCAAGUCGGAGACCCAGAAAACCGGAUGGUGUCAUUCAGUCCAAGUCUGAGGGUCUACAGAUGGGGGCCCGAUGAUGUAAACCCCCGUCAGAGCCCCAAGGCCCGAACACCAGAAGCAGUGAUCCUAGCUCAAGCAGAGAGCAAAUUUGUCCUUCCUCUUCCUUUUUGUUUGAUGGGGGGCCCUCGACGGAUCGCACGAUGCCCACCCACACUGGUGAGGAGUAUCUUAUUUUGCCAGUCCACUGGUCCAAAUGUUAACCUCUUCUGGAAACGCCCUCACAGAUACACCAAGAAACCAAGUUUUCCCAACCGCCUGGGCAUCCCUUAGUCCCGUCAAAAAAUUAGCCAUCACAUCACCUUAUCCUGGAUCAUCAUCCCAGCUUUUUAUUAUUUUUUUAUUAAAAAAAUUUUUUUUAAUGCUUAUUUAUUUUUGAGAGAGAGAGAGAGAGAGAGAGAGAGAGUGCGCACGCGCACGCAAGAGUCGGGGACGGGGAGAGAGAGAGAGAGGGAGACACAGAAUCCGAAGCAGGCUCCAGGCUCCGAGCUGUCAGCACAGAGCCCCACAUGGGGCUGGAACUCAUGAACCGUGAGAUCAUGACCCAAGCAGAAGUCGGACACUCAACUGACUGAGCCACCCAGGUGCCCCCACCCCCCAACAGCUUUUAAAACUUUGUUUGUUUGUUUUAAAUUUUUAUUCAUGUUUUGAAAGACGGGGUGGGGGGGGGGUGUGGA